Molecule: transfer RNA, 87 nt
Filed under: Rhodovibrio salinarum
Lineage: Bacteria; Pseudomonadati; Pseudomonadota; Alphaproteobacteria; Rhodospirillales; Rhodovibrionaceae
Description: tRNA-Leu
Rfam family: tRNA
About the family: Transfer RNA (tRNA) molecules are approximately 80 nucleotides in length.
Source: RNAcentral
GCGGGCGUGGCGGAACCGGUAGACGCGCUAGGUUUAGGUCCUAGUGGGUGAAAACCCGUGGGGGUUCAAGUCCCUCCGCCCGCACCA